RNAcentral lists this ribosomal RNA (507 nucleotides) under uncultured Thermomicrobium sp. Its description in RNAcentral is "bacterial SSU rRNA". It matches the Rfam family "Bacterial small subunit ribosomal RNA", at positions 9 to 529 of the family's 1533-position model. Lineage: Bacteria; Pseudomonadati; Thermomicrobiota; Thermomicrobia; Thermomicrobiales; Thermomicrobiaceae. The record is from RNAcentral.
GAGUUUGAUCAUGGCUCAGGAUCAACGCUGGCGGCGUGCCUAAUGCAUGCAAGUCGAGCGGGGUGAUCUUAAGAUCACUUGCGCGGCGGNCGGGUGCGAAAAAAAAGAGCAACCUGCCCCGAGGUGGGGGAUAGCCGGUGGAAACACCGGGUAAUUCCGCAUGAGGUCACAGACCGGAGGAAAUGUGAGGAAAGGGUCUUUUGGACUCGCCUUGGGAGGGGCCUGCGGCCGAUUAGCUAGACGGUGGGGUAACGGCCUACCGUGGCGAUGAUCGGUAGCUGGUCUGAGAGGACGGCCAGCCACACGGGGACUGAGACACGGCCCCGACUCCUACGGGAGGCAGCAGCAAGGAAUCUUCCGCAAUGGGCGAAAGCCUGACGGAGCAACGCCGCGUGUGGGAUGACGCCGGUCGGGGUGUAAACCACUUUUCUCGGGGAAGAAGCACUGACGGUACCCGAGGAAGAAGGACCGGCUAACUACGUGCCAGCAGCCGCGGUAAAGGGCGAA